RNAcentral lists this long non-coding RNA (1520 nucleotides) under Gallus gallus (chicken). RNAcentral describes it as "long non-coding RNA NONGGAT004424". The record is from RNAcentral. Lineage: Eukaryota; Metazoa; Chordata; Aves; Galliformes; Phasianidae.
CUCUGAUAGGGACAGGUGUCCAAAUAGAGAAUACCAUGUUCGUGUCCACAGUCCUGCCCCUGAUAAGUCAGGUAUUCCAAGCAGCCAGCCUUCUCCUCCAGAGCAGGACAAGGUUCCCCAGCAUUUGUAGGUUCCUGUUGUACAUAGCGCCUACGUAUUCGCAGACUGGGUUUACAUUGUUCAGCGCAGCCACUCCAAUGACUCCACUCCCCCACGAUGCAUGGAUGAGCUGAAAAGCAGUAAUAAACACAUCACUAAUAGUUAAGACUUCUGUUUGAUCCUAAUUGCUCUCCAAAUCUUAAAUAGUAAGACAACGCCGUGUUUUUUUCUUUCUUACUCUCAAAACAAUGCAGUGAUGUGUGUAUUGCAUUUCUGUGUUUGCGUACAUACAGAUGCAGAUAAUGAAACGUAAUAAAUAAAAUAUUUAGAAAUGUAACCUCAAGAUCCUGUUCUUCUGAUUCCCAAUUAGAGAACAGUCUACUGCAUAUCUGAAUUCCAGUCCUCAUGGAUCACAGACUUUCUGUGAACUUGACCCAAAUGUGUUCCAAAGUGUUAUGGGGAAACUGCCAUUAUUUUGAAAGAGAACUCUGAACCACAAGAAACUGCAAUUCCCUCAGGCAGAGCAUCAGAAGCACAGUUUGUGAUGCCUGCCACCUGCUGCAGCACAAGUGAAGGGAGCAGCUUCCCAAUCGCAGCUCUCCUCAGCCCACCGCACAGCCCAAGGCCAUGGAGGUGCCAUUGGACUGGAUCUGCCCCAUCUAUAGGCACAGACCCAUAGAUGCAGCCUAUGUGACCCCUGUUUCAAGAGGCUUUGCUAUGGCUGUGAGCUCUGGUAGAAAAAGAAACUGAGCUGUGCCAUAUGUAGGCACCAGAUAAGGGCCACCCAAUAUUCGGUAAGGUCGGACAAUGAUUACAUUGAGUGUCCUGUCCUGCAGCCUGCAACACACUCUAUGUCAUUGAUAAAGAUGUUAAAGUGUACCAGUACUAAGACAGACUCCUGGGGUACACCAUAUGUCAUCCACCUCUAUCUUGACUUAGAGCCAUUGACCACAGCCCUCUGGCUGCAACCAUCCAACAAAUUAUUUAUCCACUGAAUAGUCCAUUCUUCAAAUUCAUCUCUCUCUAAUUUAUUGACAAGGAUGUGGUGUCGGACCAUGUCAAAGGCCUUGCAGAAAUCCACGCAGAUAACAUCAGUUGCCCUUCCAUUGUCCACUAAUGCCACUGCUUCAUCAUAGAAUGCCACCAGACUGGUCAAGCAUGUAGGGACAGGAUCAGAGGAAAUGGCUUUAAACUGGAAGAAGGUAGAUUUAGACUAGAUAUCAGGAAGAAAAUCUUUACUGUGAGGGUGGUGAGAUACUGGAACAGGUUGCCUAGUGAGGUUGUGGAUGUCCUCUUCCUGGAAGCAUUAAAGGCCAGGCUGCAUGGGGCUCAGAGCAACCUGGUCCAGAGGGAGGUGUCCCUGCCUAUAGCAGGGGGUUGGAGCUAGAUCACCAUAAGGUCCCUUCCAACCCAAACUAUUC